GACGAACGCUGGCGGCGUGCUUAACACAUGCAAGUCGAACGGAAAGGCCCUGCUUUUGUUGGUUGCUCGAUUGGCGAACGGGUGAGUAACACGUGAGUAACCUGCCCUUGACUUUGGUAUAACUUCAGGAAACUGGGGCUAAUACCGGAUAUGAGCUCCUGCUGCAUGGUGGGGGUUGGAAAGUUUCGGCGGUUGGGGAUGGACUCGCGGCUUAUCAGCUUGUUUGUGGGGUAGUUGCUUUCCAAGGCUUUGACGGGUAGCCGGCCUGAGAGGGUUACCGGCCACAUUGGGACUGAGAGACGGCCCAGACUCCUACGGGAGGCAGCAGUGGGGAAUAUGGCACAAUGGGCGGAAGCCUGAUGCAGCAACGCCGCGUGCGGGAUGACGGCCUUCGGGUUGUAAACCGCUUUCGCAUGUGACGAAGAGUGAGUGACGGUAAUGGGUAAAGAAGCACCGGCUAACUACGUG
RNAcentral lists this ribosomal RNA (468 nucleotides) under uncultured bacterium. RNAcentral's name for it is "partial 16S ribosomal RNA". It matches the Rfam family "Bacterial small subunit ribosomal RNA", at positions 28 to 507 of the family's 1533-position model. The record is from RNAcentral.